RNAcentral lists this ribosomal RNA (337 nucleotides) under Walkerella benjamini. RNAcentral's name for it is "eukaryotic LSU rRNA". The record is from RNAcentral. RNAcentral also lists the same sequence under 1 other name. Lineage: Eukaryota; Metazoa; Arthropoda; Insecta; Hymenoptera; Pteromalidae.
GGGUCGUUCAAUAAACAAAACCAGACUGCUUGUGUUUGGACAACAUUCGCAAGCGAUGCCUGAGCGUUCGUCGAAACGCGUUAUCAUCAACGCGUUACGGCGUCGCUCUAAAUAAUGGUGAUAUUCGAACGCAGAGCCGACGACUAUUCGAACGCCACGAAUCGAGCUGUGCGCGCGUAUCCGUCGAGUCCCGGAGCUCUUUGCACGUUCUGAUGAACGUGCCGAGCGGACCGACGAAUCUCGCGCUCUCUCUCGUUUCGACAACGUUGUUCGGCUUAACGCACAAAACAACUGAAACGACGACCUCAGAGCAGGCGAGACUACCCGCUGAAUUUAA